GAUCAUUAGACUCAUGUGAUUCGAGCGUUCCCACUUCUCCAUCUCCUUCUUUUUGUUAGAAGAAGAUGCAUCCUCAAGAGGAGCAGGUUGCUCAAUCCGAAGAGUAAGGUCAAGAUCCAUGCAACCGAGAACAAUCAUGACGUUCUCUUUCCAUUCCUUAAAGUUUGUGCCGUUAAGCACAGGGAUGCUAUUGAUGUUGGCAGAGAUCGUAGAAGCAGAAGAAUUUACUGAAAAUAGAACAAAAGGAUUACUGAUACAUGCUUACAAAUACUUGAACUUUAACUUUAUAGAUUCAAAAUUAGGCAUUUCCCAUUACAAGAUACCUUGCACAACAUUGUUUUUAGUCUUUGGACAGAAAAACAACUUGUAAGUGGUACUCCUUGGUGUAGUGAUCAAACAUAGACAAUAAACUCCUGUCAAAUAUUAAACCUUCCUUUGGGC
RNAcentral lists this long non-coding RNA (441 nucleotides) under Nicotiana benthamiana. RNAcentral's name for it is "long non-coding RNA (NBEN_LNC003387)". Lineage: Eukaryota; Viridiplantae; Streptophyta; Magnoliopsida; Solanales; Solanaceae. The record is from RNAcentral.